GCUGGGCAUGGUGUCACGUGCCUGUAAUCCCAACUACUCAGGAGGCUGAGGCAGGAGAAUUAUUUGAACCUGGGAGGCAGAGGUUGCAAUGAGCUGAGAUUGCGCCAUUGCACUCCAGCCUGGGCAACGAGAGCGAAACUCUGUCUUAAAAAAAGAAAAGAAGAAGAAGUCUUGCUGUCACCCAGGCUGGAGUGCAGUGGUGUGAUCUCAACUCAUUGCAACCUCUGCCUCCCGGGCUCAAACAAUUCUCCUCCCUCC
Molecule: small RNA, 258 nt
Filed under: Saimiri boliviensis boliviensis (Bolivian squirrel monkey)
Lineage: Eukaryota; Metazoa; Chordata; Mammalia; Primates; Cebidae
Description: Metazoan signal recognition particle RNA (ENSSBOG00000004937.1)
Source: RNAcentral